UACGUAGGGGGCUAGCGUUGUCCGGAAUCAUUGGGCGUAAAGCGCGUGUAGGCGGUUCGGUAAGUCCGCUGUGAAAGUCGGGGGCUCAACCCUCGGAUGCCGGUGGAUACUGUCGGACUAGAGUACGGAAGAGGCGAGUGGAAUUCCUGGUGUAGCGGUGAAAUGCGCAGAUAUCAGGAGGAACACCGAUUGCGAGGGCAGCUCGCUGGGACGUUACUGACGCUGAGACGCGAAAGCGUGGGGAGCAAACAGG
RNAcentral lists this ribosomal RNA (253 nucleotides) under uncultured bacterium. RNAcentral describes it as "partial 16S ribosomal RNA". It matches the Rfam family "Bacterial small subunit ribosomal RNA", at positions 524 to 776 of the family's 1533-position model. The record is from RNAcentral.